ACUCAUGAAGCCCCGUGGUUAACUUAAUCCUCUGAAACAGUAUCCCAUUUCGUAGUUCCCAUUGUGUUUCGUUUGGUCUCCCUCUAGGGCGAGUGGAGAUCGUCUUCUUACAUCCCACAAUAGUUGGGUUUCCUUCAUUUUUCUUAAAGCAGAAAGUGCAUCAUAAAAUGAUUACACAUGGUAAUGGUCAUUAACUCAUUUUCUUAUUUGUUUUGCACGGACAGGGUCCUUGCUCGGGAGGGGAUAAAUGCAGAUCAGCUUGCAAGGGAUGUGAAGUGAUUUCAACUUAAGGUACCACCUAAUGUCAACGUUUAAUACUUUUUUACAUUGAACUGUUUGACUUUGCUUGAGUUAUCAACUAUUAUAUUUUUUGCCUGUUGGGUAGUUAUUUUAUCCAUUCCAUGAUAGGUCUCGCUACUUGUUUCUGUCAUAAAACUUGUUUGCUUCAUAUAUAUAUACACAAGCCGCCACUUAUAUGUUAACAAAUAAAUGUUAGAAAUUAUUGUUCAUAUAAUUAAAAGUUUGUUUCAUAUAUAUAUACACAUGUGGCAAGCCUGCACUUAUAUGGGCUAGUGCAACACCAGGGUGACACUCUGAAAGGCCCCUCACAGGCCACAAAUGUUAGGAAAUUAUUGAACACAAGGAUAAGAACAAUUUGCCAUGUACACAUGACUGCUCACAUGUCAUGUCUACAUGGACCAUCAUAGGGAAAAUGAAUCCUGAACUUGAUAGAAAACUGUGAAAAAUAAAAACACAAGGCAGAAAAUAACAUUGAGAUUGGUAAUAAGAGUGUAGAAAGGACUCACUGUCUCUUAGCUUCACUUUUGAAGAAAGAUGUUUCACAAUAAUCUGUAGCAUGGUGCAACUAAGAUUGCAAUUCUCUUAGCUCCUAAAACCACCAUAGCGAAAAUGAAUCCUGAACCUGAUCGCAAACUCUGAAACAUAAAAACACAAGGCAGAAAAUAACAUUGAGAUUGGUAAUAAGAGUGUAGAAAGGACUUAGUCUCUCUUAGCUUCACUUUUGAAGAAAGUUGUUUCACAAUAAUCUGCAGCAUGGUACAACUGAGGCCAUCUACUAUAUUAAAAUACAAAACUAAACGAAAAAAGAGACUAAGGCUCUAAGUUUGUCGUUCAAAAUAAUACAGGGACAGAGUAAUGGCAAACAUAUCUUAGGAAGAAAAGAGUGGAAUACACUUUCACAAGGAUUAAUCUAUAUGUACAGAAAAAGGAGCACAAAACUGACAUUGGAAAGCCGGAAGGGACAAAACUUGGGCUUCCCUCUCCUUCCAUACUUGAGCAAGUAAGCCCCUUUUUUUUAAAGCAGUAAUAGCCUGUAGUUAAGACCAAUAAAGAACCUUAGUCCAUAUAGUCAACACAUUUAGCAAGCACGAAAUUAUGUAUGAAGUCUCAAAUUCCACAACACAGAACAACAAUAGACUGAAUGCACAUCAACUUAGAUGAAAAAUGAAAAAACUUUAUAGCAUACGUUACCAUGAUGAGAUUAUUAUCCCAUACCCUUUACUAUUUGGAAAAUCUCUGAAAAAUUCAGUCCCCAAAAGAAGCAGCUAGAAAUUAUGAAGGAAAAAACUUAGACAACCAUGAACCCAUUAGUUCUGCAGAGACUGUUCCUUUUUUUUUUUUAUCCUGAUUUGCUAUUAGCAUCUUAACAAGCAAGGACACAAGCAGACAGGAAAAUUCAAGAAGAUGCACUUGCUCUCACUCUUGGCUACAACCUAAAUAUCACAAUCCAUAUUUAAAGAGCAAUAGAUCCUAUGGUAAUUUUCAAAGCCAACUUUAUCCACUACAGUGUUGAGCUCAUCAAAGCAUAAAUAACCAAAUACUCAGAUGCAAUAACCAAAGCCAUUUACCACUAUGAAGGUUCAACUAUAUGAAUCAAAUGAUGUCAUUUUGUUUUGAACAAAACAAAUUCUUCAACAAUUCUACAUCCUUUUUAAUCAUUUGCCUUAGAAUCAAUCUACUCACAAGAGUUCCUUAUCUACUCCUUUUGUUGAAUGACAGUUGUCAUGUAUGUGUGUAUAUAUGCCUUGUUUUUGUGCAGCUUAUAAGGGGCUAUGUCAUGUCACCAAUCGAGGCUUGUAUGUGUUGUGAGUUGUGACAUGUUGAAACAAACAAAACUGAAUUGCACUAAUAAUUUGGUGGAACAUGAUGAAUUACAGUUUCAGUCCUGUGACAUUCUGUUUUUCCCUUUUGUGAGCUUUUAUGUUAAAAGUCCCAGUAAUGACCGACACUACACUAGUAAUUGCAUUACACAUACACAUUUAAUUUUAUACCCAUUUAAAAAUUGACUAAUGAGUUUUAGCCUCUUAAAACAAACAAUACUUGUACCCUAGUUUCUGCCACUUGUGUAAUUAGCAUGAGUUUCAGCAUUCAGCAUGUUACAUGAUUAUAUAUGAUGUUUCACCAUAAUUUUAUUGUUACGAAAUAAAUAUUUUGCUUCCCUACUACAAUGUUUUCUACAAAAUGAGCAUUGUUGUUGUGUUUACCGCAUUGUUUCAUCUGGUUGCCGUUGAAUACGCGAAGUAACUCAGUUGUUGAAUUUUGUUACUAUCUUUCCAGGUAUGUUGUUCUAAGUCCUAGCCUCCAAAAUUUAUAUUACUUGUUUGCUUGUAGCAACAAAAAUGUAUUGUUUAAUGAAUAAGCAGUUAUGUUCAUUGCGAGCGAACCUUAGUUUCCCAUUUGAGAUUCAAUACUUUGAUUAAUACGGACAGUUUGUAUUACUCAUUGUGUUGAAUCUUGAAUUGUCCAUUUGGACAUUUUGGGAGGACUCUUUGUUUUUAGUACAUUCAUACAUAUGGGUUAAUUGUUUAUUUGUUAUAUUGGACUAAAUUUUGGUAUAUUGCAUUUCAAUUUGUUCUCUGGGUACAUACGUGAAAGUGGUGGAUGGUUACAUUUCAUCGCUUUCAUGACGUGUACUUGGAGACCAAGGUGAAAUGCUGCCAAAAUUUAGGCACAAUUAACAAAUAAGCAAGCAUACCGAUGCGUUGAAAUGUGCUAUGAAUUGGGUCUUUCUGAAUGGGUUAGGGCCACACCUUUAAUGAAUAAAAGUGAGGUUUUCAUGCAUGUGAGAUAACAUACUCAACUUUCACAUAAAAGGUCUAACAUGGAUCGAAGUUGGAUGAACGCAUCACGUAUAACUGAAGACUACGAGAAUGGUGUUGAAGAGUUUUUGCAGUUUGCUCAAACUAAUGCGCAAGCUAUGUGGGGAAAAUAUUUUUGUCCAUGUGUCAAAUGUGCAAAUGGGAGACGCCAAAUAGUUAAUGACAUAAGAACUCAUCUUAUUUUUUAUGGGAUAGUUCGUACUAACACAAAAUGGAUAUGGAAGGGGAAUUGCCCAAUAGACCUGAAAUGUCGCAGGCUGAGCCGAUUAAUGCAGAAAUUGGAAAUCCUAUAGAAGAAAUGAUUCGCGAUCUUGGGCAAGAGGGGUUUCAACAGGCACAUGCACCCUUUUAUGACAAAAUAAAAAUUGAUUCAAAAAAGCCUUUGUAUUCGGGGUGCACAUCUUUCACAAGGUUGUCUACGGUGUUAGCUUUGGUUAGCUUGAAGGCAUGAUUUGGGUGGAGUGACAAGAGCUUCACUGAGUUGCUUAUGUUAUUGAAAAACAUUCUUCCUGCAGAUAACGAGUUGCCGAAGAAUCACUACGAGGCAAAGAAGAUUUUAUGUCCAGUGGGGAUAGAGUACCAAAAAAUUCAUGCAUGCCGUAACGACUGCAUUUUGUACAAAGAUGACUUUGCUGAAAUGCAUUUCUGCCCUAUGUGUGGGGUAUCACGGUACAGACUGAACGACGGGGAUUCCAGUGUUCAUCCAAUUGCCACCAAUCGGCAUCCAGCAAAUCAGAUGGAUUCUUACAACAUCCUGCAGAUAGUCUGCAAUGGAAGGCAAUUGAUUGUCUGUAUCCUAAUUUUGGGGCCGAGCCUAGAAGUUUAAGACUUGGUCUUGCUUCGGACGGAAUGAACCUGUUUGGAAACUUAAGCACUAAUCAUAGCUCCUGGCCUAUUUUGCUGUUCAUCUAUAAUCUCCCUCCUUGGUUAUGCAUGAAGUGAAAGUACAUAAUGUUGAGUAUGAUGAUAGCUGGUCCAAGACAGCCAGAUAAUGAUAUUGAUGUAUAUUUAAGAUCGUUAAUUGACGAUUUGCGGAAAUUGUGGGAAGAAAGGGUUGAUGUCUAGGAUGGAAAUCUGUAAAACUAUUUCAAGUUGCAUGCAAUGGUAUUUUGUACCAUUAAUGACUUUCCAGCCUACGGGAACUUAAGUGGAUAUAGUGUCAAAGGACAUCACGCAUGCCCUAUAUGUGAGACUAAUACUAGUUUCCUGCAACUUAAACAUGGAAAGAAGACUGUAUAUACCAGGCAUCGAAGAUUUUUCAAACAUUAUCAUCCAUAUCGGCGAUUGAAGAAGGCGUUUGAUGGAAGUCAGGAACAUGAAACCGUGCCAAAUCCAUUAAAUGGCAAUGAAUUUUAUCACCGGGUAAAGGAUGUCAUAAAUAUGUUUGGGAAGUCCCAAAAAAAACCAUCAUCUGAUGCAAACAUGUGGAAAAAAAAUUCAAUAUUCUUUGAUCUUCCAUACUGGUCCAAUCUUCAUGUCAGGCAUUGUAUAAACGUCAUGCAUGUGGAGAAAAAUGUUUGUGAUUCUUUAAUUGGCACCCUCCUUAACAUUAAAGGCAAGACAAAGGAUGGUUUGAAGUGUCGUCAAGACUUGGUUCACAUGGGUAUACGUCAGGUGUUGCAUCCUAUCUCAAAAGGUCCGCGAACAUAUCUGCCCCCAGCAUGUUACACAAUGUCAACUGCCGAGAAGAGAAGUUUUUGUCAAUGUCUGCGUAGUCUGAAAGUCCCACAAGGAUACUCUUCAAAUGUCAAGAGCCUUGUGUCCGUGAAUGACCUUAAGUUGGUUGGCUUGAAAUCCCAUGAUUGUCAUGUGUUAAUGCAACAACUUUUGCCUGUGGCAAUUCGCGGUACGUUGCCUGACAAGGUUCGGGUUGCAAUUACUCACUUGUGUUUCCUUUUUAAUGCUAUAUGUGUGAAAGUCAUUGACCCUAAACAGUUGGAUGAUUUGGAAAAUGAGGUUGUCGUUGUCCUUUGUCAAAUGGAGAUGUAUUUCCCUUCUUCCUUUUUUGACAUAAUGGUACACUUAGUUGUUCAUCUGGUCAGAGAAAUACGGUUGUGUGGUCCUGUGUUUUUACGGUGGAUGUAUCCAGUUGAGUGCUACAUGAAGGUGUUAAAGGGUUAUACCAAAACCCAACACCGCCCAGAGGCAUCAAUAAUGGAAAGAUACGUUGUUGAAGAAUGUAUUGAGUUUUCCUUAUAGUACAUUGAGCCAUUGAAAUCUGUGGGGCUUCCUGUACCCCGUCAUGACCAAGCAAGAGCAGGGAAGGGUACAUGUGGAUACAAUGUCGUGACAAUGACUCGACAUGAGGUGUCACAAGAAUAUUUAUAUAUAUUAAACAACACAGCAGAGGUGUUACCGUACAUAGAGGCUCACAAAAAACAUGUUAGAGAUACUCACCCUAAAAUGAACAUGAUGAGGGUGUUGCAGGAGAACAAUAAAACUUUCAUCAAUUGGUUUAGACAAAUAAUAUUUGUUGAUAACAGUGGUUCCAGUAGACUAAGAUUGUUAGCCAUUGGGCCAAAUCUAAAUGUCCCUACUUGGAAGGGAUAUGACAUUAACAAUUAUUCCUUCAAAAAAAAGUCACAAGAUGAUAAAAGUUCCGUACAAAACAGUGGGGUCAGUGUUGAUGCUGAUUCGGAUCACUUUUGCAGUACAUCAAACAACAACCCCAUUAGAGCAUUGAUGUCAUACUUUGGCGUCAUUCAAGAAAUCUGGGAGGUUGAUUAUAGUGAAUUAAAAGUGUCUGUUUUUAAGUGUAAGUGGGUGAUCGGGACUGCGGGUGUGCAUCAAGAUCCAUUGGGAUUUACUUUGGUAGACCUUAGCAAGGUGGCUUAUAUGGAGGAACCUUUCAUUAUGGCAGAAUAAGCCAGACAAGUUUUCAACAUUGAAGAUCCAUGUAAUUCAAGAUUGUCUGUGGUUCUGCAAGGAAGACCAAGUGGAAUCAAUUACCAUAAUGAUGAUUCAACCCUUGACAUUGGUGAAAUGGCUGGUUUUUUUACAAAAAAUGCCUCGUAUGAAUGAAGUUGAUGACGUCGAUGAUGGACAUGCAAAUCGUAUAGAUCAUGAUGAAGGUUUAUGGGUGAACAUUUCUACAUGACAAACUUGCAUUGCUUCAAAGUAAUGGUUUGUUUUGUGUGUCAAUAUACUUAUUGUUUUGUAUUAAGACUUUGAGUUAAUGUUGGAAAUUAAUAAUUUGUUUUUUUUUUCACAAGAUCAUGGCCACACCUCCAAGGUCUCCUCCACAGUCCGAUGGCCAGUCAGAGGUCACUUCCAAGAAAAGUAGACAAACGACACGACUUAGAAGCUUGACACACAGAUUUGUGGAUCAGCCUAGACCGAUGGUUAAUGUCGAUCCCGCUACUAGGAGAGGAUCCAGACCUCAAAAGGAAAAGUUCCACGGCUAUCUAGGGGUAGUUGCUCAAGAAAAGGUUCCGAUUGUGGAAUGACAUUUUAGUCAGUCCUCAAAUUUGUGUUUUCUCCACUUUGAUGUUAUAUUUUUAAAGUAUAUCUUUACAUUGAGAAAACGUAAAAUAACAAAUGUAUAUAUGCAGGCUAAAUUUGAUAUCCCAGAAGCCCCAAAGGUGAAGAGAAAGGUCAUGUCAACGGUUGCGACAAGAUAGAGGCAAUUUAAGUCCACCUUGACUAGCAAAUUUGUUUUUGGUAACACUGAAGGGCAACAAAUGCAGGAUGUCGUUACAAAAUAUGGCAUCAAUCCUGAAGCCUGGCAAGAAUUUGCAGCAACUCGAUAGACACCUAACUAGGAGGUUAGUUUUGCAUGGCAUCCUAAUUUCAAAUGAUUAUAUAUACACCAAUUUCAUUAUUUUGAUUUCAAUAAAAUUGAUGGAAAUUAUAUAUGCAACAUUACAGGGUAUUAGGAAAUAGGCACAAGCAAUUCAAAAACACAACGACUGCCCUCACCUACUUUCACGUGGGGGAUAUGAUUUGCUUGAGAAGAAACUGUUAGACGAGAAAAGAAAAAGACUAGAAGAGGAACAUUGUUCACUGAAAAUCCAGGAAAUAUUGAGGACCCCCCCAUCUCCAAUUAAAAGACAUGUUAAGUGGAAGGUUGCCUGCACCAAGGCUUACGACAAUAUGACAUCUGAGUCGACCCAAGAAAUAGCAGAUAAAAUAGUGAGUUCACCAAUAUUGUUGAAUUUCCUUUAUUUAUUUAUUUUUUAAUGACAAUGACCGCACAUUGUGUGUUUGUCUAUGGCGUGCUUUGUGAGGACUCCUUAGAAGAGCAGGUUACGUAGGGUAGCUUUAUAUCCCGUGGUCGUGACGACAUACUGAACACUGCCAUUGGGCGACCUGACCAUGGGGGUCGUGUUCGUGCAGUGGGGUCAGGUGUUACUAUUACUCAGUAUUAUGGAAGGACAUCAUGUACAUUCAAUAACUCGUCCACAUCCAUCAGUCAUCAACAAUUACAUGAAGUUCUUGCAAGACUUAGGGAAGACAUGAGUAGUCAGAUUAGGGAAGAAUUGAGGAGUUAGCUAGAAGAGGAAAACAAGAAGAGCUUGGAAAAAAUGACUAUGGCAUUAAAAGAGGCCAUUAAAAUAGAGUUUUCACAAAAAGGAUCCCUGGGCUCACCCCCAAUUGAGUCGGACAUACAACAAUUAGGUGCUCGUGUCAGCACAAAGGGAAGUAAUGUUGAAACCAAUGUGCACCCUUCAGGGGAAGAUGAUGUUGAUGCCAUACCAAGUAUGGGAUUGUAUGUGCAGCAUCAUGAUCGUACACACUUGAUGGCAUUGGGAAAAUACUGCAGGGGGUUCCACCAUGCACAGUGUGGCUUAUGCAGAUGAUGUGGUCACUAUUAGAAAAUAUGCUUUUUAUAUCGGUUAUUUAUGACUUUCUACAUCGGUUUUUAACUGAUGUUGAAAGUAUUAUCGUUAACAUUGGUUUUAAAAAACCAAUGUUAACGUAAAAUUGACAACAUCGGUUAUUUAAAUAACCGAUGUUAUAUAAUAAGAAUUACACCAAAAAAAAUGUAUGAAUAUUGACAAUUCACAUCGAUUUUUAUACAGAACCGAUGUUAACUUUCGAACGUUAACAUCAGUUUAAGUAAAAAACCGAUGUUAACUUAUACGUUAAUUAACAUCUUUUAUGUUAACAUUGGUUUUUAACAGAAACCGAUGUUAACGUAUAAGUUAACAUCAUUUUUUACAGAAAUCAAUGUUAACGCUUUUCGAUAUUAACAUCGUUUUUUUUUUAAAAAAAAUGAUGUUAAUAUACACAAACAACAUCGGUUUUUUGAAAAACCGAUGUUAACUUAUACGUUAACAUCAGUUUUUUGGAAAAACCAAUGUUGUUUGUGUAUAUUAACAUCAGUUUUUUUUUUAAAACCGAUGUUGUUAUAAGGAAUUUUUUUAAAUACUCUUUCUGUUUUUACAAAAAACCCAAAAUUUAACCUGUAAAUUUAAAAUUAGACCACACAGCACAACAUAUAUCAUUUACAUUCUGCUUUCAAAUAGGUUUUAGCAGAAAGCUAGCUAGUAAAUUAUCAAUUGUAAAAAAUCAAUUGAUAACUAUGAAUAAAUAAUUUAUUAAUAACUAUCAACAAAGAUUAUUCAAUGUUAAAAUGAAACAACAAUUGUAAAAAAUGUAAUGCAAGCUAGUAAACUAAUUAAGUAACCUAAAGUUACAUAGUUCCCUAACAUCCUAAGUUUGAUUUCUGACUUUGAGAUAAUAUUGUGCCCACUGGAUGCGAAGCGCCUUCAAUCUCUCUGCUUUCAAUGGUCUAACAUCAUAAAAAUAUUGCAUGGUCAAAUAAAACAUAAGUUAAUAAUGUAAUACCAAUGAUAAGAAAAUCAACUUUGUUUGAAAUAAACAAUUACCGUUUCCCAAUUAUUCCUGAAAGUUCCUAAGAUUAUCGUGGACAUCCAGUGCAUGACGUAAUAGCCGCACUUAGUGCUUCAUUUUUGUCUAUUACACUAAAUAGAUAAUGAAAUUUGGAUAUUAAAUGUUAACUACAAUUAGUGUACACAGACAUAAAAUAUAUAUAUAAGUAGAAGUUUUAUUUAAAUCAUAUACCUUAACAACAAUCCACCUUGCACCAGCCUUGGAUUUAGGUUGUGGAGUAUCAUCAAGUCCUUUCAAAGCACUGUUGAAUACAAGGAACAUUAAAAUUUUGAUGUUGUUGAGUUAUGCUAAUACAAAUGUAUUGAAAAGCAACACUGACCUAUUAAUUAUUCCUUUAAGGUAGUUGUCUGGCCUGUUAUGCAAGGAACAAAACCAGACAACAAGAUUUUCCUUAGGCAAAAUGACGACCAUUUGCCAGUGUGCACUGCAGUGGAGAUCAAUAUGGGUUAUUGUAGUAUUAUACAUUAUUUAAAUUCAGUUGUUCAAUUUGACUUACCCAUUUAGGUAGGCUCCAAGGUAGACAUCGCGUUUUGAACUCUGCAUCCAACUCUUCAUGUAACUUUCUGAUUCAAAUUUCGAUUGCCCAGAUCUCUGAAUGGACUGUGGCUCGAGGAAUCCAUACACAUCAGAAUUCCCCGCUCGCAUACUUGUCUUAGUCAGAUGCCUAUUGUUGUUAAUACAAAGUUAAUUAUGUAUGAAUUUAAAACAAUAACUUAGGUAAUUAACAAUAAUCUAAAUUGACUUACAGAAUCCACAACUGUAUAACAAAUAUGCCGAGACAUUGACCACCGUGUGCAAUUUCAAAGAGAUCUUUGUGUUUUAUGUACAACUGGAAGUCUUCAUUAAACACCCCGAACACAGUAGCAUCCCACAUAACCUGGAGAGGCUUCAAAAAAAAGUUGUGGGAUGGUCAAUGUCAUCAAAUAUAGGGGAUCAUCGACCUCAUGAUCUGGCCUAUCUAGAGGUUUUGCUGGAGACACAACUGCUUGUUUAUCCAACAAAGUUAAUUAACAUAAUUUAAUUACAGUGAACAAUUCAAUUGAAAAAAAAAGCAUAUAAUGAGAGUAAAAUACCUGUUAUGAUAAAUGCUUCACGAGAUGUGUCGGCCAAGCAAGGAAGGUGUUAAGGUCUGCCCCACUAAAAUAACCUCGUCACUGGGUACAGGAAUAGGAGCCUUUGCAUCUUUAACCUCCUCAACACCAACCUUCACUUGGCCAUGCAACAAAGGGAUGUUGUGAAGCACUAUGAAUCCCUCAUAAACUCUUCCUAGGGCAACCAGGUGGGAAGGAUUUUCAUGUAUGUACAACCCGCAGCUGACACGAGCAGCUAAGGGACCAACCUCAGGCUCCGGAGGCAGUCCAAGUCUUUGUGAUUGGAUCUGUGAUUGCAACUAGGACUGCAUCUGGCUGAAGGAUAACAUCAGUUGUCGAGUCACUUUUUUUGUGAUCGGCUCCUCCAGUUGGUCCUUGAUUUGUUGAGUCAGCUGCUCGAGUUCUUCGGGAGCCAUGGAGGAAGAACUAUGGGAGAUUCAUGGAGCCGCUCCAAUGUAUUACUUUAUGGUCACACCGGCUCCAGUAUGCACAGGACCAGGGUGUUCUGGUCGCCCAAUGGUAGCAGUCAGGAGAUCCUGACUCUUGACGUCCAUGGGGGACAAACGAACCCUGUGACGCCUGCUCCUCCAAAGAAUCUUGUACAAAACACAUAUAUUUGUUUAGUCAUUCAUAGAACAAACAAAGAUAAUUACAAUUCUUAAUUGAAAAUGACUUACAAUCUUCUCAACAAUUUCCUUUGCCGCCUCAGACGUCAUCUGCUAAGUUUUCUUGGUGCGGGUCAUCUUUCACAUGUCGUCUGAUGGGCGAUGAAGGGUCAAUCACGCCCUCAGUGCUUCCGGAUUGAGCAACUUCCUCUAGUUUUUUCUUUGUCUUCUCAGCCAUCAGCUUUUGUUUUAAAUAUUCACAACCCCCACGAGACAACACGUGGGGGGCAGUGUUUUGCUUCUAGAUGGCCUGUGCCUUUAUCCGCACAUCCUGCAAAAAUCGAACAUUAAUGAAAAUGAUUAUUACAAUGUAUUAUAAGAACUGAAUUUUUAGUAGACAACAAUUAAAAUGACAAAGUACAUACCUCCCACGAGGGGUCUUUGCGGGUCUGACAAACACUAUUAGAAAAUAUGCUUUCUACAUCGGUUAUUUAUGACUUUCAACAUCGGUUUUUGAACCGAUGUUGAAAGUACCGACGUUGAUAGUAUUAUCGUUAACAUCGGUUUUUAAAAAACCGAUGUUAACAUAAAAUUACCAACAUCGGUUAUAUAAAUAACCGAUGUUGGUAAUAUGAAUUACACCCAGAAAAUGUAUAUUAAUGUUGAAAGUUAACAUCGGUUUUUACAAAAAACCGAUGUUAACGAAUGUGUUAAUGUUGACAGUUAACAUCGGUUUUUUGAAAAAACCGAUGUCAACGUUAGUUAACAUCGGUUUUCUGUAAAAAAAGCGAUGUUAACGAAUGUGUUACUAUUGACAGUUAACAUCGGUUUUCUGUAAAAACCGAUGUUAAAGAAUGUGUUCCUAUUGACAGUUAACAUCGGUUUUUCUGUAAAAAAACCGAUGUUAACAAAUUUGUUACUAUUGACAGUUAACAUCGGUUUUUAUAACCGAUGUUGUUUUCAGGAAUUUUUUUUUAAAUAAUGUCUCUGUUUUUACAAAAAAAACCAAAAUUUAACCUGUAAAUUUAAAAUCAAACCACACAGCACACAACAUAUAUCAUUUGCAUUUUGUUUUCAAAUAAGUUUUAGCAAAAAACUAGCUAUCAACAAAGGUUAUUGAAUGUUAAGAUGAAACAACAAUUGUAAAAAAUGUAAUGCAAAGUAUAUAAACUAAUUAAGUAACCUAAAGUUACAUAGUUGCCUAACAUCCUAUGUUUGAUUUCUAACUUUUAGAUAAUACUGUGCCCACUGUAUGUGAAGUGCCUUGAAUCUCUCUGCUUCCAAUGGUCUAACUUCAUUAAAAUACCGCAUGAUCAAAUAAAAAAAUAAAUUAAUAAUGUAAUAACAAUUAUAAAAAAACCAACUUUGUUUGAAAUAAACAAUUACCGUCUCCUAAUUAUUCCUGAAAGAUCCUAAGAUUAUCGUGGACAUCCAAUGCAUCACGUAGUAGCCACAUUCAGUGAUUCCUUUUUGUCUAUUACACUAAAUACAUAAUGAAAUUUGGAUAUUAAUUAAACGUUAACUACAAUUAGUGUACACACACAUAAAAUAUAUAUAAGUAGAACUUUUAUUUCAAUCACGUACCUUAACAACAUAACAUAACCAGACACCAGUAACUUCUAUUACCUCUCACAAGAUCAUAGAACUGCACUGUGGACAGGCCCAGUCACGGGACCCCCCGCAUUUUCAGUCACACACCACUUUCAUCCAAAUCCACACCUAUAUACAUUAACCUAAUUAGAAAUUAGAAAAUAAGAGAAAAGUUGCUGCUGCCUCCUUAAUUGGAAAAUUUGAGAUCACAAGGGACAAAAUUAAACUAUAUGCAAAAAAUUCGUAUUCGUAUGUAAAUACAAACAAAAUAUAAUAAAAUACCUCAUAAUUUAUAUUAAUGCUAAUUUAAUAUUUUAUACAUUUAUCGGACAGCAGACAGAAUUGGAUGCGUCCAAACUAGAGAAUAGAUUAAGAGAUAUUGGCUAAGCCAACAACCAACAUUAAUUUCAUCCAAGAAUUGGAUGCGUCCAAUUAUACACAGUAUAUUCAUGGUAUCAUUGCAGAAGAUAUUGUUAAUGGUAAUUGCAAUCGUGCAUACAAGAGGAAUUGACCGUGGCACUCAUAGGACCACAGUGUCCUUAACGUUCUCCAAUGAUAAAAAUUAAAAAGCAUCAAAUUGUCAUCCAUCAUCUUACCCUGCCUCUCUACCACCAUGCACCAUAUCUUGAUUCAUACCCCAAUUUUCCUCAUAAUUGUGACACAUUUUUUUAAAUAAAUAUUAUCCGUGUGCCCCCAAAACUAAAUACUAUUGUCUUUGAUAAAUAGGAAAACAAUAAAAUCCCAAAAAAAAAGCAAAAAGAAAAAAAAAAGAAAAAGUAUACAAAUUCCUGUGCAAGAUGUUACACUCAUACAAACAAAAUACAAUAUAUGCAAUUAUUUUAAUAUAAUCAACAUAUAUAUUAAAAAAUAAAUAAAAGAAAUGAAUGAAGGGGUCCAAGUAUAUUAUGCCAUCUAAAAAAUAGAACUAUAGUGGGACCCACAUGGAGCAUCUAAAAAAUAGACCUAUAUUAUGCUACUAUUUCUUUUUUAUUUAGCUUCAACUCACUUCACUAGUGCGGAUUUAAUUAACGUUGAUAAUUUGAGUUAGGAUAUGCAUAAAUCUUAUCCACAUCUUGUCACUAAUCAGUUCAAACACUCAAAUCAUAUAGUAAAUCAUGUUACGUGAACAAAUUUUGCUUCUAGACUUCUAUUUUUACAGAUACAAUAUUUUCUUUCUUAAAUUAUAAAAAAAAUACAUUCUUUCUUAAAUAAAUAUAUAUAUGUAAAAUAACCGUCUCAAUCAAUGAAAGGAUACGUUGAUAAAAAAUACUGUAGUAUAUUAAAUAAAUUUAAUUAACAUGAACUUAUUUUAGUGAUUACAAAAAAUAUAUAAAAUUAUUUAAAUAGAUAUAUUUAAACUUUUUAAUUUAAAAUGUAAAAAAAUAAUUAAUAAAACUAAUUUGUAAUAUUUUUUACAGUAUAUGAAAUUUAAUUUAUUAUAUAAAAUAUUAAUUUUAUAAAGUUUUGAGAGUGAACACCAUCUUCAAUGAAUGGCUUGGCCUCCCUUAAAAACUCAGCUGCAAGCAACACCACAUUGGUGGUUCCAUCGCCAACCUUUUUCACAUUCACAACAAUACAAGAGUUCAUUUACUAACAAAAUUAAAAUUCCAAUUCCACAGUGUAAAGCAUCUGAAUGAAGCGAAAAUGAAAAGAUCCUGAAAGCAGUGGCAUUGCAUGAGAUCGAAGGGAAGUUAAAGUUACCUCGGAGUCCUGAGACUUGGCGAUGUCGGCGAGGAUUUUUGCAGCG
Molecule: long non-coding RNA, 14008 nt
Filed under: Glycine max (soybean)
Lineage: Eukaryota; Viridiplantae; Streptophyta; Magnoliopsida; Fabales; Fabaceae
Description: long non-coding RNA (GMAX_LNC000172)
Source: RNAcentral